AUGGUGUCCCCCGCUCUUCUUCUUCUCUUCCUCCUCCUCCUCCUGCUUCUUCUCUCAGUCCCUUCCCUCCCUCCCCCCCAGAAACGUGUCCCUUUUCAAGUUGCAAAAGCAGCCAGGGCGAAGCGGGCUGUCGGGAGAGGCAUUCAGGAGGGUGACCCUGGGGAGGAGAGGGAGGAGAGGGCGACGGGGGGAAGAAGCAGGAGGAGGAGGAGGAGGAAAGGGAGGAAGAGGAGGCGACCGGCUCGCCGGACACCCUGCCGGGCCAGCCAGCCCCGCACCGUCCGCGGCGGGCUAGCGGCGCGCCCGCCCGGCCGGCCGACACGAAAGAGGCAGCAGCAGCAAGGAAGGAGCCCGGAGCCGCGCGAUGCUGCUGCUGCUGCUGCUGCCGCCGCCGCCGAAGCUGCUCCUGCCGCCGCCGCUGCUGCUGGUGAAGAAGCUGGUCUCUCUGCCGGGGCUGCGGCCGCCUCCGUCGCCGCCACUGCUCGCCGCCGAAGCCGCUGGGGCCCGGCCGGGAGAGCCGCCGCUGGAUCGCGCCCGUUGGCGCGCAGGGAAGCCGGCAAAGGCGCACGGGGAGCCGAGGCGCGGCUGCCGCUCAGGGCGCGCGGGUGUCCGGGGGCCAAGUCCGAGGCAGCGCGUCAGCCAUGCAGCAAAGGCGCUUCGGGAAGCUCCGCCGACCAGCCCGAGGGCGACGCCGCCGAGGAGGACGCGAGAGGAGACUGGACGAGACACUUUGGGGGUCUCUCGCCGCCGACGCCGCCGUUGUUCUGGGCUCCGGCUCCGGCCGCCGCCGCUGCUUUGCCGCCGGGCUCUCUCUCUCUCUUUAGCUGUGUCUCUCUUUCUCCGUGCGCGCCGCUUUCUCUCUUUCUCUCUGCCUCUCUCCCUCGUCAAUUUCGCUGGGGAAGAUACAAAGGAGAAGCCCCAGCAGCGCCCUCGACUUCGCCCAGGCGCGGCAGACCGAGGAUCCCCAGCCAAGUGGCGGAGCGAAAGGCGAACAUGGAGAGAGCAGAAGCGGAGCGAAUGUCAGCCGCGCGCCGAGGGGAGGGGAAAAGCCGAAAGGCGAGCGAGAGAUCCAAAGUAGGUCGAAUAAAUAAAAGCCCCUUCUCCUGCUUCUCCGGCUUGCUCUCCUCCUGGCGCCUUCCUCGCUCGCUCGCUCGCGCGGCAGCUCCUUCUCUCCUCGCCUUCUUUCUUCUUCCGUGCUGCUGA
RNAcentral lists this long non-coding RNA (1203 nucleotides) under Podarcis muralis (Common wall lizard). RNAcentral describes it as "lncRNA (ENSPMRG00000012959.1)". The record is from RNAcentral. Lineage: Eukaryota; Metazoa; Chordata; Lepidosauria; Squamata; Lacertidae.